CGAGGGGGAAAGACCGGACCGCUCCGACCCACCCCCUCCCUACCCCCACCUCCCACCUUAAAGCACCUUAUACCACGGAAGGCUCUCAGCCUCUUCUUUCCUCUGCGAACGCGCUGAGCAGCGAUUGAAAACGUUUUGGUCCUCUGCAGGUUUGAACAGGGCUAGCAGGUCUCUCUCCGGAUUUCUAGGGCUAUGGGGGCGCAUUCUGGGGUCUCUGCGCAAGACCAGCUCUCAGCUCUCUCUCCUUUCCUCGGACUCUGGAGCGGGAGCGGGCCUUUCCCUCGGGUCGACCACGCCGUAGGGGACGCCGUGAAAAGAGCCGUCGCGCCCGCUGCCUCCUGCCCGCUGCGCAGAGGGCUCCGCCCGUAGAGGUCAACUUCCCUCACCCUUUUCUCUCUCCUGCUUGCCCUCCCUCCGCCCGGCCCAGGCGCUUCCAGCCCCAGACUGUGGCCACUGGCUGAGGAGUGCGAGUCGGCUGCGCUGCCCUGAGCCUAAUCCCUCUUCCGGGCCCAGACCCGAGGUCCGCGCUCCUGGGCAGUGGGGAAGCUUUAGUGAGCAGGCUUUUCUCUCCGCAGCAAACUUGUAGCCAGACCAGAUGGGCCGCCCAGCUCUCUCGGGACUAGGCAGGUGCGGAUGAGUUAAUUUUUCCGCAUUACAAAGAAAGAUGACCCAGCCCGCCCUUGGACUCUCUUUUCCCAAAAUCUCCCAACCAAACCCGCGGUAACGUUAUCAAAGGACACAGAGCCCAGGCAUAUCUGUGUGUUUAUCUUACAGGCACACACGCAUGGUUUUCUCUUUUAUAUGCUAGAUUUCAUCCCUGACAGCAGAAAAUGAUUGGCAAUGGUUAUGACGGAGAACAUGCAAUAGCGUGGUCCUUAAAAACCUGCCAUUCCUUACAAGUGCCUUAGAAAGGAUUCAGGGCGAACCAACUGGGUUAAUUGCAUUCAGUAAAAUAACACGAUUACAAAAUUA
This 972-nucleotide long non-coding RNA is filed under the name Homo sapiens (human). Its description in RNAcentral is "non-protein coding MIR124-2HG:13". Lineage: Eukaryota; Metazoa; Chordata; Mammalia; Primates; Hominidae. The record is from RNAcentral.